This 25-nucleotide transfer RNA is filed under the name Urosaurus nigricauda. RNAcentral's name for it is "partial tRNA-Lys". The record is from RNAcentral. Lineage: Eukaryota; Metazoa; Chordata; Lepidosauria; Squamata; Phrynosomatidae.
AGGGGAAAUNGAUCCCCCUCAGUGA